This 1005-nucleotide long non-coding RNA is filed under the name Phascolarctos cinereus (koala). RNAcentral's name for it is "lncRNA (ENSPCIG00000011873.2)". Lineage: Eukaryota; Metazoa; Chordata; Mammalia; Diprotodontia; Phascolarctidae. The record is from RNAcentral.
CCCAUCUCCCUUUCUAUAUUACUAGAUGUUGUUUGUGGGCAAGAGCUAGAGAUACUGGAACUAGUUCUGUUGUCCUUGAGAUGGUUUCGUAUGAAAGAACUAGUGACAGGAUAGGUGAAAUCAUUUUGGUGGUAUCUUUAACAAAGCAGGUAAAAUUUUCCAACUUGCCUUACAUAGAUCAAACAGUGUGGCCUGGUUUUGGUAGGAUCUUAGAAUUUAUUUUACAGAUAAGGAUACUGACACAUAAGGGCAUAAAGUGAUACAUGCCUAGUAAGAAUGAGAGGCAGAACUCGAACUCCAGUAUUCUAACCAUGAGUCCAGCCCAGCCUUGUAGUUUGAAAGAUAAAGGCGGCAGUCAUUCCAAGGCAGCCUGAGCCUCCCCAUGUAGUAGGCAGGGGACAACAUCAGGCUGCAGGUAAGACAAAUGAGGAAUGCUCAAAAGGCCCCACCAGUGGCUUUGUGAUGUAACUGGGCAUGCCUAGCCAAGCCCAGGUUACAGAAAUACCAAAUGCUAAGGUGGUUCAGAAGAGGGAGAGAACACAUCCAGCUGGGGAGGCAGAAUAGAGCAGAAGACCCCUAGACUCAUGGGCCCUAGGUUCCAAUUCUGACUUAUCACAUGCAGCUGCUGGGCAACCUUCAGCAAACGGGCCUCGAGAGCUUCAGCUUCCUCAAGUGCAAGAUGAGAAGUCUGGACUAGAUGACCUUGGGGUCCAUUUCAGCUCUAAAUCCCAGGAUAAAACGAUCAGGGUUAGGAGUUCCGCUGGUUACCAACAGUGUGCUAAGGUUGUACAAACCAAGAUGGAAGCUCAGCAUCCCUAGCAGUCCUCAGUAUAACCUGUUGAUAAGACUCACAGCUAAAAACAAGCCUGCAAGUUCUUUUGUUCAACAAAUGAUUAUAUAAAGAUAAAUAAUGAGCCUUCACUCCGUCUAAAGACCAACUGAUCUGCGCCUGACACACAGUAAGCACUUAAUAAAUGUUUGGUUGGUUAUUGAUGAUUUUGUUGA